UUAACUACAACUGAAUGCCAA
Molecule: non-coding RNA, 21 nt
Organism: Caenorhabditis elegans
Lineage: Eukaryota; Metazoa; Nematoda; Chromadorea; Rhabditida; Rhabditidae
Source: Ensembl